Molecule: long non-coding RNA, 663 nt
Organism: Gadus macrocephalus (Pacific cod)
Lineage: Eukaryota; Metazoa; Chordata; Actinopteri; Gadiformes; Gadidae
Exons: 2
Source: RefSeq, a predicted model, not a curated record
AACCUAACUCUCUGCUCAGCUAGCCGGCCCAACUGUGAGUUUGACUAUGAUGUAAUCUGAAUCAUGAGGUGGCAUUCUAAUUAUUCUUCAGCAGGAUCCGCUUUCUGACAGCUCACAAGCAGAUCAUGUGAUCCAUGAGCUUGUGUGAGAGUGAGAGGGAGAGCGAGUGAGAGGGAGCGAGAGGGAGCGAGAGCGAGAGAGAGCGCGUUUGUUGCACAACAUAGCGUUGGAGAUGUGCAGAGCUUGGUAAACAGACCACUGAUCCUAGAGACUUAAAACGGCAAUGAGUCUGCUUGUUGACUUACAUGCCCACAUACUACACCGUGUCGUUAUGAUCAUCAGAGUUCAGCUCAAGUCUGUCAUGUUUAUUAUUUGUCUGUUGUUGGGCCCAUGUCUUCUUGUGCGUAUCAUAGCUUAGUGCACCUCGUCAACUUUGGUGUGGGCCAUGUUCGUACAGUCACUGAUCGGGCGACGGUGUUCUGCCAACGUUGAUCCCCGUCAUUCGGUUCUGGGAUGUGGUUUUACCGGUGUUUGCUUGAAAGUUUCAUUCAGGAAGUUUCCACUUCCUAAAUGAAAGACAUAGUUGUUGCUUGAGCCUGGCUCAUGUCUAAGCCAGGGAGCAGCGCUGAUCUAGACUAGGGCUGGGCGAUUAAUCGAAUUUUG